ACACCCUAAGAUAAUUCAGACACAGAAAGGAUAGUAAGACUGGCUACUGAGACUCCCAUCUGAUGUGGAACUUUCAUGCUUGGUGACUAUUUGUUGGCUUUUCUUCUGUCUCAGCAGUGACCGCAACGACCUUUAGUGCCAGAUCAAAUUCCUCAACUUCAUAAAUCAUUCUGAUAUUGGCCCGAUGUUCUGGGCAAGCAACAUAUUGUUCAUCACAUCAGGAGCUUCUUCAUCCCGAAAAAUAAUUCUUUCAGCUUCAAUUAAAUAUUUAAUUGCCUUGUUGAGGGUACAACAAUCCUCUAUACCGUUUCCUACUGCUCCAGAGUGGUAUUCACAUCUAACAUCAGCUCAGUGCAAGGGGGAAUCGUGGUUUGGCCGGUUUGGGGCCACUGGUUGCAACAAAUUUAACCUGAUUAACUUUUGGAACAAGCUUCCAUGCGAUUCACCAAUAUGGGUGAAGUGAUUCUUUCUGAAAGGCUUUCUUGGGUGAGGAUUGUACCGGGGAUCAUUUGGUUGAGCACCUUUAGCUGCUAUGUAUUGCCCAUAAGUCCUGCU
This 555-nucleotide long non-coding RNA is filed under the name Nicotiana benthamiana. RNAcentral's name for it is "long non-coding RNA (NBEN_LNC009138)". The record is from RNAcentral. Lineage: Eukaryota; Viridiplantae; Streptophyta; Magnoliopsida; Solanales; Solanaceae.